ACGCCACCUUGCCUUACAAAGAUACCUUCUUGGUAUCUUUCAUCAAGUUCAUAAUCAGGAUAUUCUGGAAAAAAAGGUAGGGUUUCAAUUUAGCAUUUGGGGUAGGGGGACUAAGAAAUAAGUCUAUGGCAAUUAUUGCAGAAAGCAAAUGAUCAUAUGUCUCACCAAGCAUUUCAGUGACUUUGACUGUUCCUGGUACCUCAGCAGGCUCACCAGGUCCACCAGCAUUACAAGCUAGGACGCGGAACCUGUAUUCUGCACCCUGAGAAUCAGAGGUGGGGAGAGUGGUGGAAGGGCCUGUGGACUUACGGAUGCUGCUGCGACACUCUAUGACCUCAGACUGCAAGUAAGAGCCAAUCCCGAAGCGGUUUGUUGCAGCCACACGGAACACAUACUCAUUUCCUUCGAUGAUAGCCAAUGACUCUACUUCCUCCAUCACUGAUUGGCUCAUUCCAUUGUACUUCCAUGCUGUCCCUGGAGGACAGUGUGACAACUGGAGUGCCAGGAGGACCAGGAACUUUGAAUGGAUAUUGGGCUACAGUAGGCUCUGAAUUGAGGUGGCUGCCAUGAGAUAGUCAUGUGUUCAGGAGUAACAUCCAGAAUAUUAAUAGGACCUGUUGGUGGCCCAGGAACAUCAAGAACAGUAAGAUGUACGGCUACUGUUUUGCUACCGGCUGCAUUGGAAACUGUGAUUUGAUAUUCCCCAGUGUCUCUCCUUAAGCAGUUCUUAAUGAGAAUAGACGCCUUGAUGGCUCCUCUGGCAGUUCUUGAUGACCAUGGAUGAGCUAAUGGCUGUGGUCUCAAUGGUGGCUUCUUGAGGAGCAUGCAGAGAAAUUGCUUUAGCCUCUGAUAAAUAAAACAGACUGCGAGGAAAAUUACAGCGAGGAAAUUACAGACAUCAUCUCCUUUGAACAGGGAAAAGGUAACAGGAACUACUUACAGAUUGGAUCAUGUGCUGUUUUGGGAUCUGAAGGUGGACUGAACUUUCCAGGUCCAGCUGCAUUUUCAGCACAUACUCUGAAGACAUAG
RNAcentral lists this long non-coding RNA (1029 nucleotides) under Homo sapiens (human). RNAcentral's name for it is "HSALNT0044010". The record is from RNAcentral. Lineage: Eukaryota; Metazoa; Chordata; Mammalia; Primates; Hominidae.